This 303-nucleotide long non-coding RNA is filed under the name Homo sapiens (human). RNAcentral describes it as "non-protein coding lnc-DNAJC25-3:2". Lineage: Eukaryota; Metazoa; Chordata; Mammalia; Primates; Hominidae. The record is from RNAcentral.
UGCAUGUUUUAUAUAAGUAAAAAUUUGUAAAGGGAAUGCUAGAAUGAGCUAUUUCUUUACCCGUUCAGUCUCAAAACUAGAUUUCUAAAUGGAUCAAAGAUACAGCUUUUUCUUGUCUUCGUUGAAUAAGCAACUAAACCAAAAAAUAUCUAAAUUGACGUUCAUGGAAAUUGUAACCUUUUCUCUUUGUAGUUCAAGUAUUAGAACUUUCAGCAGAAAGAGACUUUUGGAGGUCACAAAAAGUUGAUAUUUACCAAGUUGGAUGAUCGUUUUCAGAAUAUCCUUGACUGCCGGGUGGCUUGG